RNAcentral lists this long non-coding RNA (367 nucleotides) under Salmo salar (Atlantic salmon). Its description in RNAcentral is "lncRNA (ENSSSAG00000108694.1)". Lineage: Eukaryota; Metazoa; Chordata; Actinopteri; Salmoniformes; Salmonidae. The record is from RNAcentral.
AGGUAUGUACAGGACCGGCCUUCCCAUUACCCCAUCAUAUACAGUGUAUCACACUACAUACAACCAACAGGUAUGUACAGGACCGGCCUUCCCAUUACCCCGUCAUAUACAGUGUAUGGUGCUGAAUCCUACUGUACUAGAAUGCCCACUCACAGGCAGUACAUCACACUACAGAACACAUAUAAAAUGGAGCCCAUCUGCAGGUGUAGUGUUGGCCUCCUGUGAAGCCACACUCUCCAUGUGGGUUGGCAAUUACACUCAGAUGUCAGCAUCUAAAACCACUCCUCUGCUUUCUGUCCUCCCCCGCUGUCUCUCUCCCCCUCUCCCUCUCUCAGCCUCUCUCUCUCCCCCUCUCCCUCUCUCAGCC